CCUACGGGUGGCAGCAGUGAGGAAUAUUGGUCAAUGGACGAGAGUCUGAACCAGCCAAGUAGCGUGAAGGAUGACUGCCCUAUGGGUUGUAAACUUCUUUUAUAUGGGAAUAAAAUGUUCCACGUGUGGGAUUUUGUAUGUACCAUAUGAAUAAGGAUCGGCUAACUCCGUGCCAGCAGCCGAGGUAAUACGGAGGAUCCGAGCGUUAUCCGGAUUUAUUGGGUUUAAAGGGAGCGUAGGUGGAUUGUUAAGUCAGUUGUGAAAGUUUGCGGCUCAACCGUAAAAUUGCAGUUGAAACUGGCAGUCUUGAGUACAGUAGAGGUGGGCGGAAUUCGUGGUGUAGCGGUGAAAUGCUUAGAUAUCACGAAGAACUCCGAUUGCGAAGGCAGUUCACUGGACUGCAACUGACACUGAGGCUCGAAAGUGUGGGUAUCAAACAGGAUUAGAUACCCGAGUAGUC
RNAcentral lists this ribosomal RNA (460 nucleotides) under uncultured bacterium. RNAcentral describes it as "partial 16S ribosomal RNA". It matches the Rfam family "Bacterial small subunit ribosomal RNA", at positions 338 to 795 of the family's 1533-position model. The record is from RNAcentral.